UGCCAGUCAUUUAUCGGCCAUUGUAAAUAGCAGGAUCGAGGCCCUGGUGUUCAAAGUAACAACCCACUUGUCAACCCGUUAAGAAGAAUUAGUUCACUACAAUAAUAGAAAACCGGAAGCCUUUGGACCAAUUUAAAAUGAUUAAAACUAAGUACAAAUACAAUGGUCUGAUUAAAACGAUGUAAUCUUACCAAAUGAUAAAAACGAUUUAAUACAGUGAUAUACCAACAAAUGCCUGGUGAUCUAAUCAUGCACUUUCAACGUAUAUUAUUAAUGCACGAUAAUCUAGUAAAUUAGCCUACUCAAAGAUAUGAAUGACUGUAAAAUUGAUAAAAUAAAAAAAAUCGAUUGAGUUGGUAGGUAUCUAUAAUGUAAAUGGCACCACAUAGAUUAUUUUGAUAAAAAUGUGAAUCAUGAGAAUAUAAGAAUGGAUAUUUGUAAGGUAGGUAGUUCGAUAUGUAUUUUGUGGCCAAGUACAUAUAAAAUGAGAUAGCGCUCUACAAUGUGCAUCGUGACGUCUCGCUUCUGCACCUGCUUGUACCAUAAUUUCGUACCAAUGCAUUGGUAUGAGCUAAAUUGUUGGCAAAUUAGUAGUCAGAAAAUGUAUCGAAAUUAUUUUGAGAUUUUAAUAAGUUAAUAAUAUAUUUUUGGCAACAAAAACGUACAACCUACUUGAAUAAAAACUAUUGAGCCAAAAUUACUGAUUUUUAUGGGAAAUCACAGCAAAAUCAACAAAAUCUUUUCAUCCCGUCCGAGUUUCUGAGGAAAUAAACAAAAAAAAAAGGGAUACAGACGAAUAGAGCACCUCCUCAUUUUUGAAAAGCAGAGGCCUUUAAAAUAAUCCUGAAUCUUGUCACUUCUCGUGAGAUUUUUUAAUGUGUUUGCCAUUCUCUGUAACUAGUCUGAUAAUACAUGAUAUUUGAAAUCUGAUACCACAUCGUUUUUCACUUCAACGUGAUGGUCCCAUAUCUGAAGUGUAUUUUUCCAAUCGAUACUAAGUAUAGAUUUAGAUUAAAACCGAUACCAUUCUUGGGUAUUUCCAACACCGAAAUAAGUUUAUUAUUCGGUUUGAGACGACGACACUGGCACAAAAUUCAAAUGACUGACCGCAGCGUUCAAGACAAUGGCAAGUAGUAUUUUAAAAAUGGGAUUUGGUACAUUGUAUUACAGAAAAAGGAAACUUUAUUACACAAUCCAGUGGCAACCGAAAGCUUACGUCUUAAUAUAAAUUGGAUCCCAAAUAAUUGCGACGAAAGGUUCUUUUAAAAGGAUCCAAUCUUCCACUCUUUGAAUUUAGAGGAUAUUUCGGUGGACCUUGCGUCUUCUUAAAACCUAUUGAUUUUUUUUCAAAUGUUUGUUUCAUUCGACAUCGAUUUUUUUUAGGUAAACUGCCUAACUGGGCGGCGAUACACCUUCCCACACACUUCCACCGCCGCUUCGAGCAAUAAAUCCUUCUCUAUUAUGUUAGAGUGAUGCUGACCAUUGUUUUUCUUCCAAAACUGCAUAUUAAUUUAAGACGACGCGUUAGAACCUCUAGAUAUUAUUAUUUUAUCGAUCUUAACUUUUCAGCCUAUGGAAACAUACUUUUAUAAGCAUAGCAGUGCACUGCGUUAGCCGAUUUCGUGGUCUCCAUUAAGGACUCGUCGGCUCCAACGACCAUCGAGAUUUCGUGAAAGGAGCUUGGUCUGGGAGCCGGGCCUGCCGCAACACAAUCCACUGGCACGCUGUAGUCAGCGCACAGAGCAGCCUGGAACAAACGAAUACAACUUUUAUUCACAUGCCCAUAAAGUCGGUUUUUAUUACA
Molecule: long non-coding RNA, 1804 nt
Organism: Trichoplusia ni (cabbage looper)
Lineage: Eukaryota; Metazoa; Arthropoda; Insecta; Lepidoptera; Noctuidae
Exons: 2
Source: RefSeq, a predicted model, not a curated record